RNAcentral lists this transfer RNA (77 nucleotides) under Gammaproteobacteria bacterium. RNAcentral's name for it is "tRNA-Arg". It matches the Rfam family "tRNA". Rfam says of the family: Transfer RNA (tRNA) molecules are approximately 80 nucleotides in length. Their secondary structure includes four short double-helical elements and three loops (D, anti-codon, and T loops). Further hydrogen bonds mediate the characteristic L-shaped molecular structure. tRNAs have two regions of fundamental functional importance: the anti-codon, which is responsible for specific mRNA codon recognition, and the 3' end, to which the tRNAs corresponding amino acid is attached (by aminoacyl-tRNA synthetases). tRNAs cope with the degeneracy of the genetic code in two manners: having more than one tRNA (with a specific anti-codon) for a particular amino acid; and 'wobble' base-pairing, i.e. permitting non-standard base-pairing at the 3rd anti-codon position. Lineage: Bacteria; Pseudomonadati; Pseudomonadota; Gammaproteobacteria. The record is from RNAcentral.
GCGCCUGUAGCUCAGCUGGAUAGAGCGCUGCCCUCCGGAGGCAGAGGUCAGGGGUUCGAAUCCUCUCAGGCGCGCCA